Terrapene triunguis (Three-toed box turtle) is the source of this 214-nucleotide long non-coding RNA. RefSeq lists it as uncharacterized. The transcript has 3 exons. The record is from RefSeq and is a predicted model, not a curated record. NCBI's taxonomy places the organism in Eukaryota, Metazoa, Chordata, Testudines, Emydidae.
GCAAGGCACGGUGCAGGCUGAGUCAGCGAAGCUGAACCUGCCUACGGGGUCGGAGCAGCGAGGCGUUCCCGCGGCCGCGGCAUAGACACCGGUCACAGGCGGACCCAGGCUGCAGUGUAACAUUCCAUCCUUCUGGAGGACAGGGAAGGGAAAUGGCUGCCGUGGAGCCAGUGCAGGGGCCGGUGACCUUCGAGGAGGUGGCUGUGUAUUUCAC